UCCAAUAAUUUAUUAGGGCAAGCGACUAGUGUUUGCCCUCAACAGUGGUAGUAAGUAACCUAAGUCCUUUCUUCUACUUCCAGUCCACCUCCCCCAUAAUAAAACUAUGACAGAGAAACAUGAAGGAAAAACAUACAAGCAGAGCUACACCGUGAAAGAUUUCUGUGCAGGUGCUUAACUAGAUCUCCAGAGAAGGAAAUCCGAUAGAGAAAUCUGGAUUGAGCAUCUCAAACCAAGUGUCAACAUAAGGUAUCAUUUCUUUCGAAAAGGAUCAUGGCUAUUUCACACAUCACAUGGCAGCAAACACAGCUUGGCUAUCAAUUCUGCCCUCAGCAGGAAGCUGCAGUGAUUUUGAUGAGCUUCCCUGCAUGACGCAAGAGCGUAUUUGUCACAAUGAAAUAUUUGCUUCACCCUUUAAAAUGGAGAGGCCGGCCAGAUACUUCUAGCAAUCCCAUAAUGAAGACAACUGUUUGCAACAAAACUACCCUGUUUCCUCCAAAAUAAGGCGGGGUCUUAUAUUAAUUUUUGCUCCAAAAACUCAUUAGGGCUUAUUUUCAGGGGAGGUUUAUUUAAUUUUUUAUGUGCAACAAUCU
Molecule: long non-coding RNA, 593 nt
Filed under: Pogona vitticeps (central bearded dragon)
Lineage: Eukaryota; Metazoa; Chordata; Lepidosauria; Squamata; Agamidae
Description: lncRNA (ENSPVIG00000014742.1)
Source: RNAcentral